Molecule: transfer RNA, 123 nt
Filed under: Dothideomycetidae sp. 11243
Lineage: Eukaryota; Fungi; Ascomycota; Dothideomycetes
Description: fungal sp. No.11243 tRNA
Rfam family: tRNA
About the family: Transfer RNA (tRNA) molecules are approximately 80 nucleotides in length. Their secondary structure includes four short double-helical elements and three loops (D, anti-codon, and T loops). Further hydrogen bonds mediate the characteristic L-shaped molecular structure. tRNAs have two regions of fundamental functional importance: the anti-codon, which is responsible for specific mRNA codon recognition, and the 3' end, to which the tRNAs corresponding amino acid is attached (by aminoacyl-tRNA synthetases). tRNAs cope with the degeneracy of the genetic code in two manners: having more than one tRNA (with a specific anti-codon) for a particular amino acid; and 'wobble' base-pairing, i.e. permitting non-standard base-pairing at the 3rd anti-codon position.
Source: Rfam by way of RNAcentral
GGCACGAUGGCCGAGUGGUUAAGGCGGUAGACUUGAAUGCCGAUUCUCGACGAUGAUUCGUCAGUUUCAUAUUCUUGCCAUCUACUAUCUUCGGAUGCGUAGGUUCAAAUCCUGCUCGUGUCG